UGACGGGGCCCGCACAAGCGGAGGAGCAUGUGGUUUAAUCGAUGAUACGCGAGGAACCUUACCUGGGCUCGAACGUAAGAUGACUGUAGGUGAAAGCUUACAUCUCUUCGGAGCAUUUUACGAGGUGCUGCAUGGUUGUCGUCAGCUCGUGCCGUGAGGUGUCGGGUUAAGUCCCAUAACGAGCGCAACCCCUACCUUUAGUUGCCAUCAGGUAAUGCUGGGGACUCUAAAGGAACUGCCUACGCAAGUAGUGAGGAAGGCGGGGAUGACGUCAAAUCAGCACGGCCCUUACGUCCAGGGCUACACACGUGCUACAAUGGCCGAUACAGAGGGCAGCUACCUGGUGACAGGAUGCAAAUCUCCAAAGUCGGUCUCAGUUCGGAUCGGAGUCUGCAACCCGACUCCGUGAAGUUGGAUUCGCUAGUAAUCGCGCAUCAGCCAUGGCGCGGUGAAUACGUUCCCGGGCCUU
This 469-nucleotide ribosomal RNA is filed under the name uncultured Sphingobacteriales bacterium. RNAcentral describes it as "bacterial SSU rRNA". It matches the Rfam family "Bacterial small subunit ribosomal RNA", at positions 911 to 1382 of the family's 1533-position model. The record is from RNAcentral. Lineage: Bacteria; Pseudomonadati; Bacteroidota; Sphingobacteriia; Sphingobacteriales.